RNAcentral lists this small RNA (500 nucleotides) under Pan troglodytes (chimpanzee). RNAcentral describes it as "retained intron". Lineage: Eukaryota; Metazoa; Chordata; Mammalia; Primates; Hominidae. The record is from RNAcentral.
UCAACAACCGAUGUGAGGGCUCCUCGGUCCAGACACGGACCUGCCACAUUCAGGAGUGUGACAAGAGAUUUAAACAGGAUGGUGGCUGGAGCCACUGGUCCCCGUGGUCAUCUUGUUCUGUGACAUGUGGUGAUGGUGUGAUCACAAGGAUCCGGCUCUGCAACUCUCCCAGCCCCCAGAUGAACGGGAAACCCUGUGAAGGCGAAGCGCGGGAGACCAAAGCCUGCAAGAAAGACGCCUGCCCCAGUAAGUGUAAGGUCCGCUGCAAGGGUGAGCAUGGGCAGCAGCUCUGCCCAGCUGGUUGCCUGGCAUCUGCAGCCUGCAGUUCAGUGGGUCAUAGAGCAGGAAGGUUACCUACUAGAGAAACAAACAGAAGCAAAGUCCUGCAGGCUCAGCAACUUCUUUUAAUGAAAAACAAACUCACCCUCUUCCCCAGCAUUCUUUCCAUGUGUCAGAGAAGCAGAGGUUUCUUGAACGGGCUUAGGAGAGUCUAUGACAAG